RNAcentral lists this ribosomal RNA (496 nucleotides) under uncultured bacterium. RNAcentral's name for it is "partial 16S ribosomal RNA". It matches the Rfam family "Bacterial small subunit ribosomal RNA", at positions 28 to 506 of the family's 1533-position model. The record is from RNAcentral.
GAUGAACGCUGGCGGCGUGCCUAAUACAUGCAAGUCGAGCGAACGGACGAGAAGCUUGCUUUUCUGAUGUUAGCGGCGGACGGGUGAGUAACACGUGGAUAACCUACCUAUAAGACUGGGAUAACUUCGGGAAACCGGAGCUAAUACCGGAUAAUAUUUUGAACCGCAUGGUUCAAAAGUGAAAGACGGUCUUGCUGUCACUUAUAGAUGGACCCGCGCUGCAUUAGCUAGUUGGUAAGGUAACGGCUUACCAAGGCAACGAUGCAUAGCCGACCUGAGAGGGUGAUCGGCCACACUGGAACUGAGACACGGUCCAGACUCCUACGGGAGGCAGCAGUAGGGAAUCUUCCGCAAUGGGCGAAAGCCUGACGGAGCAACGCCGCGUGAGUGAUGAAGGUCUUCGGAUCGUAAAACUCUGUUAUUAGGGAAGAACAUAUGUGUAAGUAACUGUGCACAUCUUGACGGUACCUAAUCAGAAAGCCACGGCUAACUACGU